RNAcentral lists this ribosomal RNA (253 nucleotides) under Verrucomicrobiota bacterium. Its description in RNAcentral is "partial 16S ribosomal RNA". It matches the Rfam family "Bacterial small subunit ribosomal RNA", at positions 524 to 776 of the family's 1533-position model. RNAcentral also lists the same sequence under 1 other name. Lineage: Bacteria; Pseudomonadati; Verrucomicrobiota. The record is from RNAcentral.
UACAGAGGUCUCAACCGUUGUUCGGAUUCAUUGGGCGUAAAGGGUGCGUAGGCGGUCGCGCAAGUCGGAUGUGAAAUCUUGGGGCUCAACCCUGAAACUGCAUUCGAUACUGCGUGGCUAGAGUACUGGAGAGGAGACUGGAAUUUACGGUGUAGCAGUGAAAUGCGUAGAUAUCGUAAGGAAGACCAGUGGCGAAGGCGAGUCUCUGGACAGUUACUGACGCUGAGGCACGAAGGCCAGGGGAGCAAACGGG